Molecule: ribosomal RNA, 452 nt
Filed under: uncultured bacterium
Lineage: Bacteria
Description: bacterial SSU rRNA
Rfam family: Bacterial small subunit ribosomal RNA
Source: RNAcentral
AAUCAACGCUGGCGGCGUGCCUAACACAUGCAAGUCGGACGUGAAAGGGGUUUCGGCCCUGAGUAGCGUGGCGGACGGGUGAGGAACGCGUGGGUGACCUGCCCUGCAGAGGGGGAUAACCCUCCGAAAGGGGGGCUAAUACCGCAUGAGCCCGAGAGGGGAAAGACGGUGAGUCGCUGCGGGAGGGGCCUGCGUCCGAUUAGCUGGUUGGUGGGGUAAGAGCCCACCAAGGCGACGAUCGGUAGCCGGUCUGAGAGGACGGACGGCCACACUGGGACUGAGAUACGGCCCAGACUCCUACGGGAGGCAGCAGUGGGGUAAUUUUGGGCAAUGGGCGAAAGCCUGACCCAGCAACGCCGCGUGGAGGAAGAAGGCCUUCGGGUUGUAAACUCCUGUCCCGAGGGACGAAGUAGGUGACGGUACCUUGGGAGGAAGCCCCGGCUAACUCCGUG